RNAcentral lists this transfer RNA (71 nucleotides) under Cordylochernes scorpioides. RNAcentral describes it as "tRNA-Gly". The record is from RNAcentral. Lineage: Eukaryota; Metazoa; Arthropoda; Arachnida; Pseudoscorpiones; Chernetidae.
UGCAUCGGUCGGGGAUCGAACCCAGGCCGCCAGCGUGGCAGGCGAGCAUUCUACCACUGAACCACCGAUGC